UACAGGGGGUGCAAGCGUUGCUCGGAAUUACUGGGCGUAAAGCGUGCGCAGGCGGCUCGUCAAGUCGGGGGUGAAAGCCCGGGGCUCAACCCCGGAAUUGCCUUCGAAACUGGCGGGCUUGAAUGCGGGAGAGGGUCGCGGAAUUCUUGGUGUAGAGGUGAAAUUCGUAGAGAUCAGGAGGAACACCGGUGGCGAAGGCGGGUCUCUGGGCCGGUAACUGACGCUGAGGAGCGAAAGCAUGGGGAGCGAACAGG
RNAcentral lists this ribosomal RNA (254 nucleotides) under uncultured bacterium. RNAcentral describes it as "partial 16S ribosomal RNA". It matches the Rfam family "Bacterial small subunit ribosomal RNA", at positions 524 to 776 of the family's 1533-position model. The record is from RNAcentral.